This 253-nucleotide ribosomal RNA is filed under the name uncultured bacterium. RNAcentral's name for it is "partial 16S ribosomal RNA". It matches the Rfam family "Bacterial small subunit ribosomal RNA", at positions 524 to 776 of the family's 1533-position model. The record is from RNAcentral.
UACGUAGGGGGCUAGCGUUGUCCGGAUUUAUUGGGCGUAAAGAGCGUGUAGGCGGCUAGGUAGGUCCGUUGUGAAAACUCGAGGCUCAACCUCGAGACGUCGAUGGAAACCAUCUAGCUAGAGUCCGGAAGAGGAGAGUGGAAUUCCUGGUGUAGCGGUGAAAUGCGCAGAUAUCAGGAAGAACACCCGUGGCGAAGGCGGCUCUCUGGUACGUGACUGACGCUGAGACGCGAAAGCGUGGGGAGCGAACAGG